UCCAAUCCAAUAAAUCACCCACACACAAAAUCAUCAAUAUUCAUCCAAUCCAAUAAAUCAUUAUAAAAUAAAAAUAUUAGGCAUAAUCAUCAAUUAGAAUUUAGAGUUUAAAAAUUACUUGAAUAUGAGCAUUUCCACCCCACCAACUAGAAUCACAAAUCUACACCUCCUAGAAACACAAACAAAAACAAAAACAAAAAACAAAAAAAACCAUUAUAUAAUGACCCAAAAGAUUAAAUUCCUCAAAAUUAAACAAAAGAAUGUAGCACAAUGGUUUAAGUAUACCAAGAACAAUAAAUUUACAAAAUUAGAGAUGGAGAGGGAAGAGAAUGAAAACCUGGUGAAGUAAGUCAAGUCCAC
Molecule: long non-coding RNA, 360 nt
Filed under: Prunus persica (peach)
Lineage: Eukaryota; Viridiplantae; Streptophyta; Magnoliopsida; Rosales; Rosaceae
Description: long non-coding RNA (PPER_LNC001922)
Source: RNAcentral